AGUUUAUGCAGAAUGGCGUGAAAAACAAACAAAGCAAAAAAAAAAAACUGGCCAGUGAGCGUCAGUUCUGCAGGCGGAGACGCCGUGUCGAUGAGAGAGGUCAGAGGAGAAUGAACAGACAGGUUCGAGCUGACAUGAAGGACAUCGUAACCACUCUUUACAAACGUGGUGAGCUGAAAAGCAUCUCAGAAUGCGUUGCGGACCUGGAUGGAGGGAUGGGAUGAAGUGGAUGGAGGGAUGGGAUGAAUGGAUGGAUGGGCUACGACUCCACAAGACUGCACUCCUGUCAGAAAAGAACAGGAAUCGGACAGCACGGUGGGGACAGGAUCACUUGUCCCUCGUAAGCCUUCGAGUUGGUGAACUAUAUCUGUGACUGUAAUUUCUAAGGCUUACACAUGUAGAUCUGAAAAGAGCCCGAGACCCGACCAUCAUCAGAUCGCUGUCAUUAACACACGGCUGCAGGACUGAUUCACUUUACAAAUAGUUAAUCAACCCCGUCAAACCUCCAGGUCCCUUCUGAUGCAGAUUGGACCUCAUUUCUUCCUUCCUUCAUUUAUUUAUUUAUUCAUUUAUUUAUUUACCUUAUGAUAGAAACAGGGCAGCUCAGGAAGCCGAACAAAGCACCGCACACAGUUAAGAAGAAGAAGAAGAAAAAAAGCUUCACAAAAUCAAGAGUCCUUGGUGGGUUCUUCUUCUCUCGGUUUGUUUUAACGCUGUGGUUUUCAUGCUCGAGUCACACUGCAGUUUCACGUCAUGGCCACACGUGCGCCGAAAUCAGCGUCAAACUUCAAACCCACGUCUCUACUCUAGUCAGAUUUCCGGUACCUGGACCUCUUAAAGACGUCCUUUAACACCCGUACUUUACUUUAGCCUAACCCGUACAAUACUGUAUUACUAAUAAAGCGGGGAAACCGGAUAAAACCGGAUCGCCACGCGCGAGCUCGUUAAAACCCGUAUCGUGGUAACGGAACAGGGCCUCGCUUUGUUGCUCAGCGUUUAUAAAACACGGCUCAUUUAGACGUUUUAUUUGGUCGUAACGGCCGGCACUAAUGAGAGCCAAAGUGAUUUAGGACCUAACAAAAUCCGGUGACCUUUAAAUAUUACACCUCUUAAAUCGUUUCCAGGCCGACGCGCCACCCAGCAGUGCGUCGCGGUUUAAUACAGGAGCCAGGCGGAAACUGGACCGAGAUCUCCUACACAGUUUUGGAGGCUAGUGCGGUAUAUCAUGGUAUAACUGCUACGACUUGGUGCUGGAGGACGGGGUUCAUCCCUCAUAAACGCAAAUGACGUGCACUUGUGUAGAAGUCUGUCAGCAUGAACAGGUAAACUGGGAUUAAUCCCAUCAGGACUUCAAGAAUUCUUUUCCCGUAAACGAGUUUUAAAGGCUCGAUAGUCGAUGGUUUUUUCUUUUUAAAUAACAAAGACCUAUUUAAAAUAAGUUUUAGAUAGAGGACGUAAUCUCUACGCUGAGAAAGUUCAUACAGAAGAGCCUAGCGUGAAGAUUUUGACUCGAGGGUCGCACCUACGCAAGCGGAGCCUCAUGCGGAAAACGUCUAAGAACCACCGAGCUAGAACGUACGUCGAACGUGAUUUAAAAUGAUUGUUUAAGCCGUGACCUCAGCACGAGUGUAUAAUGCGGCUGAGUAAACAAACCUGCAUGGGAAACUGGCUCCGGGCCUGGAGUGCUCGUUUGUGUUUACGUGAGACGGUCUGUACAGGAGGGGGUUGUUUUUGGGGGAUCGUUGCUGACAAAAAUGUGAGAUGUUGCGCACCCCCCCCACCGAAGUUAUUGCGCCACAAAAAAACUACUCGACUUGCGUGAAAUCUGCGGCGAAGUUUGUUGGAAAAUGAGACCUUUUAGCCGUGCUCGUGAAUCGAAGAGGGCGUUGGCCGAAUGGCGUCACGUGACGUCCCUAACCUGCGGAAAAUUUAGAGGGGGGGGAUGUUCGGCUUUCACGUUCGUUCCUGCGGCUGAUUUUACAGAUGCUCGCCCAAUGCUUCCUCGCUCUGCUUCCAUUUUGUUGGCAUGCGCCUGGGCAGAUAAUAAUGAAUAAAUAAACCCUACAAAAUAAUAAAAAUCUUACAGUGUUGAAAUCUACGAGGCAGGUUUUGACAACCUGGUUCAGAACUCUCCUAAAUGGUUUUAAUGGUUUAGAGCUCUCCUAAAUGGUUC
Ictalurus punctatus (channel catfish) is the source of this 2173-nucleotide long non-coding RNA. NCBI's taxonomy places the organism in Eukaryota, Metazoa, Chordata, Actinopteri, Siluriformes, Ictaluridae. The record is from Ensembl.